Molecule: long non-coding RNA, 8233 nt
Filed under: Nicotiana benthamiana
Lineage: Eukaryota; Viridiplantae; Streptophyta; Magnoliopsida; Solanales; Solanaceae
Description: long non-coding RNA (NBEN_LNC029109)
Source: RNAcentral
GUUGAAUCACAAGAGCCCAAUAGCCACCAAUUCCUAGUUUAAUUAUGUCUAAAAUCCCUAAAUAUAAAAAAAAAUUAGAUCCAUUGAUCAACAGAUUCAAUGGCUCCUGUUCUAUCUCCCAUUUUUUACUCUCAGAAGCCCCAAAACCUAAAAUCAUUUAAUCUAGUCUUGCAGCCCCUCCAUUCCCCUUUCCUCCCUAUUGUCUCCAGGCCUGCAACCAUAUCAAUCCUCAAGAACUUGAACGAAUACGUGCAAGGUCGACAAAUCAACUACGAAAUUAUUUUAUCCGUCCUUGCUAGCUGUGAUUCUCGCUCAAAUCUUUCCUAUUUUGUUGUUUAAUGCAAAAUCCCAAAUAAAAUCCCUAGAUCUAAAAUGAUAACUUCGAAUUCAUACACUUUGGACCUGUACUUCAAAAUCGAAGGAGACAUGGAGGUAUUAACUGGAUUCAUUGUUGGUAUUCGAUAUCCAGUGGUCAAAUGCAAUGACCUCUAGACAUUAGGGUUUCGACCAGUGGCUUUUAAUUCUUCACCGGUCAAUCUCUCAUUUUUUUCAUGCCCAGGUUAUUUCUAUAUUUUCCCCCUCUACUUUUUUGAUUUUACAUGUCUUGCUUACAUCAUCCAAUCUUCGUAACUUUCCAUUACCUAUAAUCAAAUAUGUUGAGAUCCUAAGGAAUUAAAUGCCACUAUAAAUAGAGCCGUCAAUUCUCUCACCUAAAAAAACCAAACAAGACAAAAAGAACGAGCACAAUAUCAACAAUAAGAUUUCAUGUUUGAAUAUUUGGUUCCUGUAUGGCUAAGCAAAACUUUUGUUAAGCUUGCUGCUUGAAAGGGGGUCAGUGUACCCCGAUCUCUUCUCUUUUAAUAAUUUUAUUUGAAAGAUGACCUCACUGUAGUUUUUCUAUUAAUUGCCUUUGUUUAUGACAUCUGUUAUCAGUUUUUAUUGAUUGUUUUCUUGCUCAUAAUGAGUCGUUUAUGAUAGACUAUUUUGCUUUGAUAUUGUGUGUGUAGAAUUAGUAUUAAUUCUUUAUUAUGUGACCUUGAUAAACAUUAUUAUGAAUUAAAUAACUCAUACAAUUACGCUCAUAUGAUUAACUAAAGAUGCCUUACUGCCUUCCCAUACUUGUUCUGACUUCAAACCUCAUUGAUGCUCUUCUAUGGCCUUCAUGUAUACCCUAUUAAUUCUGUUUUAAUGUAGUUUGUUACUUUGUACUUGAGGUUAUAUAUUGUAUAAGCUCAACUAGAACAAAUACGAAUACUAAGGUUUAAUUUCCAGGCUGCUAUUUAGUUGAAGUAUAUCAGUUUAAUUACUUAGGAUGUCUUCUCUCUUCAAAUAAAUGUUUCUAUAGAGCUCUUGAAACUAACCGAAAGGUCUAUUAUAAUUUUUAUAACUGCUGAUCACAUCUGUAAGUCUCAUUGCAUAAGACAGUAACUUAAGGUAGCUAGGCUACAUUUUAAUGAAUUUCUGUAGUUAUUCUUAUGUGUAUUAUGUCAAUUGUUACUCACCAGUUUAAGUUAUCUCCUAGAAAUUUGACUACAGUUUUAUCUUUUGUGACUGGGCAUUAACUGUUAUGUUGGUAGGCUGAAUAGAACUUCAUCAUGUUUAGAUCAUCACUCAUAACCUGUACAACUAAAACUGGAUCUACUUAGUAUAUAGUAUCCAUUAUUCUGAGCUCCUUUUAUAUUAUUAUUGACUUGACUUCUUGUUUUUUGAAACCCAACCAUUGUAAUGUCAUAACCUUGGUUAGAACAUCCCAUGAAUAUACUUGAAUGCCAUCUCUUGAGGAUCCUGUACUCAUUUGAUUCUUCAGUACUUGUUUAUUUUCUUUCCAACACCAUGUACAUGUCUUUGUUAUCCUUAAAGAUUCAUUAAACCGUCAAGAGCAAGACAGACCUAGAAAAAGAAUUUUAGAUGAACUACCUGUUAUUACUGAUUGAGUUUAACAUCAUUCUUUGUCAUUGUGAAGUUGAAAAGCCUUAGGACUAAGUAGUCAGGUCUUGACCUUUAGAAUAAACAAAUCUUGUAACUUAAGGUUCGUUAAUACUCUUUUGGAGGCCUUAAUCUAGAAUAUUAACUACUGACUGUGUCGAUAAUCUUUAGAAGUCCUGGCCAGGUUAGUAGUUUCCAUCUCUGUUAAUAUUCUUGAUUGGCAACCCUGUUGACAUUCUUAAAAGUUCUGGUUAAGUUUAUAAGUCAGCUACCUUUGCUAAUUGUGCACGGUGAAAUCGAAGGACCAAUUUUUCAUUGACAAAGUGCUUCAGUGGGUCGUCCCGGAGGCUCGGUAUCUCAAGUCGGUCACUUCCCUCAAAAUCUGUCGAUACUCAGCCGAGGAUAAGACUGCCCGAAAACCUCGACGAACACGGGAAGUGUGACGACCCAAAGGGUCAUCACCGUAAUUCUCCCUUUUUUGCACUUCUGGAGCCUUGAAAGCCUCUUACUUCGUUGCCCUGGUUUGCGUGCGUAAUCCGGGCGCGAAGCCGAAAGACAUUGAUGUGAAAAUAUUGGAAUUUUGUGUUAAAAACUAAGAAUUUUGAUAGUGAUAUUGCUAUAGUUGAAUUUGGUCAACGUUAAACAGACCCGGAACCGUGAUGUGACGGUCCCGAAGGGUCCGUAAUGAAAUUUGGGACCCAGGCGUAUUCCCAGAAUCAAAAUCCGAGGUCCCUGGCCCGAGUACGGAGCUUUUUCGUGAAAUUGUUUUUUUGAAAAUGCUUAAGGAAAAAUGGAAAUGAAAAUUUGAUAAAAAAUGAUGGUAUCGUGCUCGCAUAUGGUUCCGACGCUUGGUACAAGUUUUAAAUUGGCGUUAAGAGCUAUCUGUAAAGUUUGUUUGAAAACAGAAUCCGUUUGAUGUGUUUCGGACUAAAGUCGAAUUAAAGUUGAAAGUUUAGAACUUUGGAAUGAAAAUCAUGAGUUUUGGAGGUUGAUUCUUUGAUUUGAUGUUAAUUUGGCGAUUUGAUCGCAUGAGUAAGUAUGUAGGAUGUUUUAGAUGUUGGGUGCAUGUUUUGGUUGGAGCCUCGAGGGCUCGGGUGAGUUUCAGAUAGGUGUUAGGCUCAUUUGAAAUGUUUUUAACUGUUGUGUCUCCAGUCUUCGCAAUUGCGAAGACUUGUUCGCAAAUGCGAACAUCCCCUGUUUGGCCCUGUCGUCGCAAAUGCGAUAUUCCCCCAUGGCAGUCAGAUUUUGCAAAUGCGAAGUCCAAUCUCGCAAAUGCGAGUUCUCCCUCUUCCUUGCCCAGUUCGCAAUUGCGAACUAUUUCUCGCAAUUACGAUGUCCCCUUCAUUUCUCCCCAGUUCGAUCUGCACCUUUGCAACUGAUACUUACACGAAUUCAAACAUCACUUUUCAUAUUUUUCAAAACCCAAAACCACCAUAGGUGAUUUCUCCCGAACUCUUUCGUCCCCAAACCAAAUGUAAGUUAUUUUUUACUAGUUUUCUUCAAUCUUUAUCAUCUUCUAACAUGAUUUCACCCUUAAAUCAAAGCGUUCAUGGUUAAAAAUGGAGGAUUUGGGGUAGAACCUAUGUUUUCAUAAAUUGGAGAUUUGGACCACAAUUUGAGGUCCGAUUUCAAAACAAAUUGCAUAUAUGAACUCGAGGGGAAUGGGUAACCCGGUUUUGGUUCGAACCUCGAGUUUUGACCACGUGGCAUGGGGAUAUUUUUGGAAUUUUUGAGUAAAACUUUGUGAAUUUCAUUCUUACGCAUUUAAAUUGAUUUAACUAGAAUUUGUUGAUACAUUUGAGUAAAUUGUGGUUAGAUUCAACCGGUUUUGAAGAGAAUUCGAGGGGUAAAGUUAUUCUAGAAGCGUGAGUUGAGUUGGAAGCUUUCGAGGUAAGUGUUUGAUCUAGCUUUGGCUUGAGGGAAUAGGAUUAGAGUAUUUGAUUACUAUUUGCUAAAUGAUCGAGUACGGCGUAUAGGCAUGGUGACGAGUAUCGAUACACCUGUGUCAAGUAUGACCGUGAGUCGUAAUUGCCUUAGAAUUCGAAAGAUGUGAAAUAAUUGAGUUAUUUCGCCACUGAAUAAAUUAUGAAAUGAUUGUUGAAAGGUAAAUAUUCCAAAGAAGGAAGUGUGGUACUUUUCCCUUGCUAGGACGAGUAAGUUAUUAUUAUUAAGUCUUUCCUUGCCGGGAUAUUUUGGGUUGUAGCUGUACCCUUGCCGGGUUUAACUGUUGUGUGGAUGAACUUCCCUUAUAGGGCAUCUUUUGAUGAGAUUGUUGAUGUUAUAUAUUGUAUAAGCUCAACUAGAACAUAUACGAAUACUAAGGUUUAAUUUCGAGGCUGCUAUUUAGUUGAAGUAUAUCAGUUUAAUUACUUAGGAUGUCUUCUCUCUUCAAAUAAAUGUUUCUAUAGAGCCUAACGAAAGGUCUAUUAUAUUUUUAUAACUGCUGAUCACAUCUGUAAGUCUCAUUGCAUAAGACAGUACCUUAAGGUAGCUAGGCUACAUUUUAAUGAAUUUCUGUAGUUAUUCUUAUGUGUAUUAUGUCAAUUGUUACUCACCAGUUUAAGUUAUCUCCUAGAAAUUUGACUACAGUUUUAUCUUUUGUGACUGGGCAUUAACUGUUAUGUUGGUAGGCUGAAUAGAACUUCAUCAUGUUUAGAUCAUCACUCAUAACCUGUACAACUAAAACUGGAUCUACUUAGUAUAUAGUAUCCAUUAUUCUGAGCUCCUUUUAUAUUAUUAUUGACUUGACUUCUUGUUUUUUGAAACCCAACCAUUGUAAUGUCAUAACCUUGGUUAGAACAUCCCAUGAAUAUACUUGAAUGCCAUCUCUUGAGGAUCCUGUACUCAUUUGAGUCUGUAACCUCAUAACCUUGGUUAGAACAUCCCAUGAAUAUACUUGAAUGCCAUCUCUUGAGGAUCCUGUACUCAUUUGAUUCUUCAGUACUUGUUUAUUUUCUUUCCAACACCAUGUACAUGUCUUUGUUAUCCUUAAAGAUUCAUUAAACCGUCAAGAGCAAGACAGACCUAGAAAAAGAAUUUUAGAUGAACUACCUGUUAUUACUGAUUGAGUUUAACAUCAUUCUUUGUCAUUGUGAAGUUGAAAAGCCUUAGGACUAAGUAGUCAGGUCUUGACCUUUAGAAUAAACAAAUCUUGUAACUUAAGGUUCGUUAAUACUCUUUUGGAGGCCUUAUGUGAAGUUUAUAAGCCUUAGGACUAAGUAGUCAGGUCUUGACCUUUAGAAUAAACAAAUCUUGUAGCUUAAGGUUCGUUAAUACUCUUUUGGAGGCCUUAAUCUAGAAUAUUAACUAGUGGCUGUGUCUAUUAUCUUUAGAAGUCCCGGCCAGGUUAGUAGUUUGCAUCUCUGUUAAUAUUCUUGAUUGGCAACCCUGUUGACAUUCUUAGAAGUUCUGGUUAAGUUUUAUAAGUCAGUGACCUUUGCUAAUUGCGCACGGCGAAAUCGAAGGACCAACUUUUCAUUGACAAAGUCCUUCAAUGGUUCGCCCCGGAGGCUCGGGAUCUCAAGUCGGUCACUUCCCUUAAGAUCUGCCUAUACUCAGCCGAGGAUCGGCCAAAAACCUCGACGAACACGAAAAGUGUGACGACCUAAAGGAUCGUCACCGUAAUUCUCCCUAUUGUUGCACUUCUAAGGCCUUGAAAACCUUUUAUUUGAUUGAUUCGAUUUGCCUGCGCAGUCCGGGCGCGAAGCCGGAAGAUUUUUAUGUGAAAAUAUUGGAAUUCUGUGUUAAAAAAUAAGAAUUUUUAUAGUGAUAUUGCUGUAGUUGACAUUGGUCAACGUUUUGGUAAACGGAAUCGGAUCUGUGGUGUGACAGUCCCGGAGGGUCCGUAAUGAAAUUUGGGACCCACGCGUAUUCUCAGAAUCGAAAUUCGAGGUCCCAGGCUCGAGUACAGAGCUUUUCUGUGAAAUUUUUUUUUUUGAAAAUACUUAAGGAAAAAUGGAAAUGAAAAUUUCAUCAAAUGUGAUAGUAUCGUACUCGUAUUUUGGUUCUGACGCCCGGUACAAGUCUUAAAUGGGUGUUAAGCGCUAUUUGUAAAGUUUCUUUGAAAACGGACGCUGUUUGAUGUGUUUCGGACUAAAAGUCGAAAAUAAAUUGAAAGUUUAGAACUUUGGAAUGAAAAUCAUGAGUUUUGGAGGUUGAUUCUAUGAUUUUGAUGUUAAUUUAGCGAUUUGAUUGCACAAGUAAGUCUGUAGGAUGUAUCAGAAGUUGGGUUCAUGUUUUGGUUGGAGCCGCGAGGGCUUGAGUGAGUUUCGAAUAGGUGUUAGGCUCAUUUGAAAUGUUUUUAACUAUUGGUGUCUCCAGUCUUCCCAAUUGCAAAGACUUGUUUUCAAAUGUGAAUAUCCCCUGUUUGGUCCUGUCAUCGCAAAUGCGAUGUUUCUCUCGCAAAUGCGAUAUUCCCCCCAUGGCAGCCAGACUUUGCAAAUGCGAAGUCCAAUAUCGCAAAUGCGAGUUCUCCCUUUUCCUUGACCAGUUCGCAAUUGCGAACUAUUUCUCGCAAUCAUGAAGUCCCCUUCAUUUCUCCCCAGUUCGCAAAUGCGCUGUUAAUAUCACAUUUGCGACAUCUGCACCCCUGCAAGUGAUACUUAGACGAAUAUAAACAUCUCUUUUCAUAUUUUUCAAAACCCAACACCACCAUAGACGAUUUCUCCCGAACCUAUUCGUCCCCAAACCAAAUGUAAGUCAAUUUUUACUAGUUUUCUUCAAUCUUUAUCAUCUUCUUACGUGAUUUCACCCUUAUUCAAAGGUUUCAUGGUUAAAAAUGGGGGAUUUGGGGGAGAACCUAGGUUUUCAUAUAUUGGGGAUUUAGACCUCAAUUUGAUUACUAUUUGCUAAAUGAUCGAGUAUGGUGUAUAGGCAUGGUAACGAGUAUUUAUGUACCGGUGUCAAGCAUGGCCGUGAGUCGUAAUUGACUUAGAAUUCGAAAGAUGUGAAAUAAUUGAGUUAUUUGGCCGCUAAAUAAAUUAUGAAAUGAUUGUUGAAAGGUAAAUAAGCCAAAGAAGAAAGUGUGGUACUUUUCCCUUGCCAGGAAGAGUAAGGUGUUAUUAAUAAAUCCUCCCUUGCCGGGAUAUUUUGGGCUGUAGCUGUACCCUUGCUGGGUUUAAGUGUUGUGUGGAUGAACUUCCCUAAUGGGGCCUCUUUUUAAAAGAUUGUUGGAGUUAUCUAAUUAUAAAAAUGGGAUCGUGUGGCGCGCCGUCCACUGUAGAUGAGAAGAUCAUGAAAAGUUGAGAUAGAGUUAUUGUUAUUACUGAUGUUUUAUCUUUACUUUGUAUCCCCACCCCCCCAGUUUUAAGCGUAUUAUGUUGUUAUUGUUUCUUUCUCGAAUUUGUAUAUCAAUACUGCAUAGGUUAUUUGUUGUAGGUCAUGUCUAGCCUCGUGACUACUUCGCCGGGGUUAGGCCAGACACUUACCAGCACAUGGGGUCGGUUGUGCUGAUAGUACGCUUCUGUGCCUUUUUGUGCACUGGUCAAGACGCAGCUUACGGACCGCAGCAGUAGUCAGGGGGCAAUCCAUAAUUUCAGAGACUCUGAGGUAGUUUGCUGGCGUUCGGGAGCACUGAGUCUCCUCUAUGUUUUCUAGUUUGUUUUAUUUGUAUGAAACAGAUAUGAUGUAUUUCUUUCAGACUAUUAUUUUUCGUACUCUUUAGUUGUCCGUGAGCAGUGACACCAGAUACUGGGUAGAGACAUGUUAGUUUUUCCGCACCUUGUUUUCAUUACUGUUGUUAAAAGGCUUCCGCAUGUUUCAAUUAAUUAUUCUCGUAUUUAACUUGUUUUAGAUUAAGUUUGUGAAAAUGAUUAUAAGGGUUGGCUAGCCUAGCUUCGACAGUAGGCUCCAUCACGACUCCUGAUGGUGGAUACAUUCGGGUCAUGGCAAAGUUGGUAUCAGAGUACUAGGUUACUUGGGUCUCACAACUCACAGACAAGCUCGGUAGAGUCUGAGGGAUCGGUACGGAGACGUCUGCAUUCAUCCCCCAGAGGCUACAAAGUUAGGAAAAGUUUCACUUCCUUCAUUCUUGUUGUGCGAUUCUAUUUCUCAAAUAUUGAUUUUCGUUCUACUCUGUUCUUUCGCAGAUGGCGAGAACACGUGCAUCUUCUUCUUACGCGCAGCAGCCUGAGCCCCCAGUAGCAGCCCCCGUGAGGGGCAGGGGCAGAGCUCAACCUCAGGCAGCAGUUCCCGAGGUGGAGCCUCAUAUUGACUUUGAUGAGGAGGUUCCAGCUCCACAAGCUCCAGUGGGCCCAGCUUAGGUCCCAGGAGGAGUGAUGUUUUCUUCGGAUCUUCAGGAUGCUCNNNN